Molecule: ribosomal RNA, 1056 nt
Filed under: uncultured fungus
Lineage: Eukaryota; Fungi
Description: eukaryotic LSU rRNA
Rfam family: Eukaryotic large subunit ribosomal RNA (bases 473-1056)
Source: RNAcentral
GGAUCAUUAUAGAGUUUUCUAAACUCCCAACCCAUGUGAACUUACCUUUUGUUGCCUCGGCAGAAGUUAUAGGUCUUCUUAUAGCUGCUGCCGGUGGACCAUUAAACUCUUGUUAUUUUAUGUAAUCUGAGCGUCUUAUUUUAAUAAGUCAAAACUUUCAACAACGGAUCUCUUGGUUCUGGCAUCGAUGAAGAACGCAGCGAAAUGCGAUAAGUAAUGUGAAUUGCAGAAUUCAGUGAAUCAUCGAAUCUUUGAACGCACAUUGCGCCCAUUAGUAUUCUAGUGGGCAUGCCUGUUCGAGCGUCAUUUCAACCCUUAAGCCUAGCUUAGUGUUGGGAAUCUACUUCUCUUAGGAGUUGUAGUUCCUGAAAUACAACGGCGGAUUUGUAGUAUCCUCUGAGCGUAGUAAUUUUUUUCUCGCUUUUGUUAGGUGCUAUAACUCCCAGCCGCUAAACCCCCAAUUUUUUGUGGUUGACCUCGGAUCAGGUAGGAAUACCCGCUGAACUUAAGCAUAUCAAUAAGCGGAGGAAAAGAAACCAACAGGGAUUGCCUUAGUAACGGCGAGUGAAGCGGCAACAGCUCAAAUUUGAAAUCUGGCCCUUGGGUCCGAAUUGUAAUUUGUAGAGGAUGAUUUUGGUGCGGUAUCUUCCGAGUUCCUUGGAACAGGACGCCUUAGAGGGUGAGAGCCCCGUACGGUUGAAUGCCUAGCCUCUGUAAAUCUCCUUCGACGAGUCGAGUAGUUUGGGAAUGCUGCUCUAAAUGGGAGGUAAAUUUCUUCUAAAGCUAAAUAUUGGCCAGAGACCGAUAGCGCACAAGUAGAGUGAUCGAAAGAUGAAAAGCACUUUGAAAAGAGGGUUAAAUAGCACGUGAAAUUGUUGAAAGGGAAGGAUUUGUGACCAGACUUUUUCUGGGCGGAUCAUCCGGGGUUCUCUCCGGUGCACUUCGCCCAGUAAAGGCCAGCAUCGGUUUUCGGCGUGGGAUAAAAGCAGUAGGAAUGUGGCUCUCUANCGGGGAGUGUUAUAGCCUAUUGUAUAAUACCGCGCUGGGGACCGAGGU